Molecule: long non-coding RNA, 1699 nt
Organism: Salvia splendens (bonfire salvia)
Lineage: Eukaryota; Viridiplantae; Streptophyta; Magnoliopsida; Lamiales; Lamiaceae
Exons: 2
Source: RefSeq, a predicted model, not a curated record
UUAUUUAAUAAAGUAUGGAUUCAUGGAAAAUCAUUUUCUAAAUCUUUUCUUUGAAUUUUCUUAAGGCCGCCCAUGUCGUCGCGGGGCGACUCCGAUCGGCCCUUCGAGUCUCCAACUUCACCAUUUUCCAUCCUUGAUACCUUAAUAAAUUAUCCGGGAAUUAAUUAAUUAAGCUCCAAGCUCAAUUUCUUAAAUUAAUUCCAUCCAAACAAAAACUAAUUUCCAAGCUCAACAAAUAAAUUUGGGCCCAAUCUAAUAAUUUAGUGAGGCAGUCCAGCUCCUUAAUAGAAUCGGUCUACCAAUCCAUACCAACCCAUUCUUGAGUUGAUUUCUUUAAUCCAAAAUAGCAUAGCAACACAUUUCCCAUUUCCAAACUCAAUUCUCCAAAUUUUUAAUUAGGAUUUCUUGGCCCAAAACCAUUAAAAUAAGUGGUCCGAUUCUUAAUCCCAAUUCACCAAGGCAUACACUACUAGCCCAUCAUUCCUCCACCUUUCUUUUAAUACCAUCGGUAUCUCCUUCUCCCUGAAUUCAUGUUUCAACAGGGGUGGAGGCGUCACCACCUUCUCCCGUUCUCAGCCGCGGCAUCGUGGGACACGCGGAGUCCUCGCCUGUGUCCCCUCCGCCCAGCGCUGGUACGCGUUCUGCUGUCUCCGUCGUCAACCAAAAAGCUAAGUUCUUUGCUCAAUGCCUUAUUUUACAACUUGUCUAAAUGUUUCAAGAUCCAAGAGUUUGGAAGGUCAGUGUAUUGGCUAUGUUGGGGUCCUUAACUGCUUGAUGCUUGAAUUACACAUUUUGCUACUGCCUUGAUACAGUUUGGCACUGAUUCUUCAUUGAUCCUAUUGCUAUUAUUUCCUACGUGAUCAUGCUUCUUAUGAUUCUAAGUUCUUGAGUCUCUGAGGUUCUAUCGUGUUGUGGGGAUUACCUUGCUCGGUGAUUCCAUUCGGUUGCGGGGUAUGCUCCUAUCUCGCUGCCUCUCCUUCCUCCCUUGCUGCUCCUUUGUUCCUUGAACCUUUGGGAGUCGAGAAGUGGGAGGAAGAGGGUGGUGAUGGGUGGUAUUUAUAGCCGAGUCCUUGGCUAGUGAGGGCUGAUUCCAAUUUCCCUAUCUUUUGUGGCAGGUUUUGGGGAGUAUAACUUGCUACUCUGAGCUAAAGGUCUCAUAUUGUUAAAUAGGCUUCCUUCCUAUUUUGUGCAAGUCUUGGAAAAGCUAUCAUUGCUGAUCUCAUUUGUGAUUUGGGAGAAUAUGAUUCUUCUCAUUUGGGUUUGAAGAUAAGCAUCUUUCUUGCUUCACUUGUCACCAUUUCCACUUUGGUGAAAUUGGGAGUAACCGAGAUGAAAAAGGGGCUUUACUAAGGUUUCAACUUGGUCUUUUGUGGAGUGGGGAGCAAGGAUCGAGUUGGAGAAGAUUUCCAUAAUGAAUUAGAAUCUAGUGUUGUCAUUUUAAUCUUUCUAGCUACUAAUAGCUACUAAUGUAUAGUAGCUUUUGCACAGUAGAUUUGUAUUCUUUUUUAUCUAAGUCCUCAAAUAGGUUAGGUCAAGUACUCUACUUGUGAAAGGUAGCUUUCCAUGUGUACCUUAGGCUCCUAACAUUUCCUUUUUUGAAGGGUGUAGCUCAUCACUUUUACACAUACUUCUAUGUGUAAACAAAAGUAGCGUGUACUCCAUCUUCAUAUAUUCAUGUAUGCAAUCAUUUAUACACUUA